RNAcentral lists this ribosomal RNA (484 nucleotides) under uncultured bacterium. RNAcentral describes it as "partial 16S ribosomal RNA". It matches the Rfam family "Bacterial small subunit ribosomal RNA", at positions 30 to 507 of the family's 1533-position model. The record is from RNAcentral.
AUUGAACGCUGGCGGCAGGCCUAACACAUGCAAGUCGAGCGGAUGAAGGGAGCUUGCUCCUGGAUUCAGCGGCGGACGGGUGAGUAAUGCCUAGGAAUCUGCCUGUUAGUGGGGGAUAACGUCCGGAAACGGGCGCUAAUACCGCAUACGUCCUGAGGGAGAAAGUGGGGGAUCUUCGGACCUCACGCUAUCAGAUGAGCCUAGGUCGGAUUAGCUAGUUGGUGGGGUAAAGGCCUACCAAGGCGACGAUCCGUAACUGGUCUGAGAGGAUGAUCAGUCACACUGGAACUGAGACACGGUCCAGACUCCUACGGGAGGCAGCAGUGGGGAAUAUUGGACAAUGGGCGCAAGCCUGAUCCAGCCAUGCCGCGUGUGUGAAGAAGGUCUUCGGAUUGUAAAGCACUUUAAGUUGGGAGGAAGGGCAGUAAGUUAAUACCUCGCUGUUUUGACGUUACCAACAGAAUAAGCACCGGCUAACUUCGUG